Molecule: ribosomal RNA, 253 nt
Filed under: uncultured bacterium
Lineage: Bacteria
Description: partial 16S ribosomal RNA
Rfam family: Bacterial small subunit ribosomal RNA
Source: RNAcentral
UACGUAGGGUGCAAGCGUUGUCCGGAAUUAUUGGGCGUAAAGAGCUCGUAGGCGGUCUGUCGCGUCGGCUGUGAAAACCCGGAGCUCAACUCCGGGCCUGCAGUCGAUACGGGCAAACUGGAGUGUUGCAGGGGAGACUGGAAUUCCUGGUGUAGCGGUGAAAUGCGCAGAUAUCAGGAGGAACACCGGUGGCGAAGGCGGUUCUCUGGGAAUGACCUGACGCUGAGGAGCGAAAGUGUGGGGAGCGAACAGG